AGCAGAGCAAGAAUUGCUUGCUGUUUUUUUUUUGGGGGGUCAGUGUAGAAUUUGGACCAUAACAGUCCAAUGCAACAAAGAUUAGGGCCCUCCAAUGCGCGAAGACUUACUACUCCCGAAGUCGUUUAGAAGAAACGCCAAAUUUUCCAAAGUCGCAAUUAUCCACAGUUCCACACUGCGACUGUACUUGCCAUCAACCAUACGCCAAACAACCCUUACCCCUGAGGAACGCGCGUUUACUUGAAUCCCCAGGUCUCGGAGUCAGGUCAACGAUCCUUUCUUUUCCAUUCCAUUUUCCAACAAUCACCUUCACCUCCGGCGUCUCCGCCCUCCUCUUCAACAGCGGAGAUCAAAACCCUCACCAUAACCUCCGACACCCGCCCCACGAUCCUCUUUGGAGAAAUUCGGCUUCAUCCACUCCGGCUCCGUGGUGGCAUCAGGUGGGUCCCAACUCGAUCCUGAGCGAAAAGUCCCUCCUCCAAGUCCUGAUCGAGACCACUGUUGCCUCCAAGAACGAAGGUGAGGGUUGUUUUUCACGCGCUUUGGGAUGUUUGCGUUCAAGACCACUGUUGCCUAUGAGUACAAGUGGGUGUGUUUUGCAUUGUCGAGAAUGAUGAAUACUCUCUGACUUUGACCGCUGAGGAGAAGGAACAAGUCAAGGAAUAUGAAUGAACUAAACUUAAGCUUUGAAACAAUUUCACUGCAGGUACUGUUGGUUCACCGUGUUAAAAAUCACUCCAUUGGGUUUCUCUAUAUACUAGGUUAUAGUAUACUAAGUUUGAGGUUGCAACUAUGUUGUUCCUUCUUUUUUUAAGACUAUUAUUACACGUAGCCUUUUUUUGUUAUAAAAUAGACAUAUACUCUGGAAUAAAAAAUGUUUGAUAAUGUUAUUGCUCAAAUUGUCUCCCCUUGAGGAACAAUAUACUCAGCUCUUAUCGGGUUACUAAUUAUUGUUAUUUGAUCUUAGUUUUUUUGUAACAUUUGUUGGUUGGACCGAGCUCGCCUUAGUUUAAUCUAACCUUGGUGUGUAUAUAUUACUCUGACUAGUCUCAUUUCUAGCUCAUAGCUCUUCCUAACUUGGAACUUGGAGCUGGAGGUCACGUAUCAGUAUUGGUCCGAACCAAGAUUAGAUAUAACUUGAAGUCAGUGUGAUUCAUACCAAUAAGGAAGGAUUUCCCACAUGAUUUUCUGAAUCAACUAGACAUAUUAUUUUAUUCCUUUCUAAUUAACCUUGACUUUUGAUUUUGAUUUUGAUAUUAAUAUUAAGUACAGCCUCCUUCGCAUAUUACAUUGAAGUUGCUUGAAUUUUUUCUUUUUAAUUUAUAAAUGGAAUUGAAAAUAGUGCUAUAUACUAUAUAGAGUUCAAAAAUUGCCAAACCCCUUCAUGACACCUUCAAACUCCGAAUUAGAAAAAUGUGACUUUUCUUUCCAAAAUUUAAUUGUUAUUAUUUAUUUGCGUCAUUUUUAAAUUAUUUGCGGAUAGUAAACUAGUCUCAUAUUCACUAAUCUUGAAAAAAAAAAUACAUACAUUAUAAUAUGUCAUUAAUCAAAAUUUCUGGGUCAUAUAAAAUGAAUAAAUUUCACUUUUUUAAUCCCUCUUGGAUCAAUAAACCAUCCUAAUAGGUGUAGGAUGUUGCUAUUCUUAACUUCAGUUUUGCAGCAAAUUUAUCAGAGGGGAUUAGUUUUACAAACUAAUUUUUCAUCUGGGUCUGUUUGCAAAGUAUUUCUUUGGAAGGUCACUUUUUGACGUAACAUGGACGUAUAUCGCCAAGCUGAAUGGCGAUAUACGCCUGGGGUGCUUGUUCUAUCAGGACGAAUGGCAAAAUAGCUGGCACAGUGGUUUCGCCACUUUGAGUGAUGAUUUAGGUGCAUAGGGCUGGUCAGAGCAGAAGGUACAGAGGGUUAGAGCAGGCUAGGGUUUUUUUUUGCAGAAAUGGCUAGCGGAAUAGGCUUUGCAUGCAUUUCGCAGGAGCCUCUGGCGAAACAGGCUAUGCAUAUUUCGCAAAUUCCAUUGGCGAAAUAGCCUUCCUUUAAAUACCCAUUCAUUUUGUGAUCCAUUUGGAAUGUCUGAGUUUUCAAUUUAGGGUUUAUUUCCUUUCAAAAUUUUCCAACUACUGCGUUUAAAUAGCAGCCAUCCUUUCGUGGGCAUUUGAAAAUUCUUGAGCUCUCAAAAUUUUUUGAGUACAGUCUAUAAAAUUUCUGAGCCUUUCCACUAUGUUUAUCAAUCUCUCUCAUGAUAUUAUUUAUUUGAAGUAAUAAUUUUGAAUGGGUAAGAGCAGCACCAGCACUAUAAAACGCGUAAGAGUAGCACCAACACUUUCUCUAUAAAUAUAUUAUCAACCAUUACAACUUUUAUUAUUUCAUGUACAUAAACAACUUGCAUGGCAAAUAUGAAUCAGUUAUCAUACAUAAUAAAUAUAUAUACAUGUCUAUAAUAAAAAAAAUUAAAUAACUCGUACAAGUAUUUAACCAGCACAAGAAUGAACUCCAGCAGCCUAAGGAGGAAGCUCAAAAAUAUUUUUGAAGAUUUCGCAAUCAACUUUGGCGAAACAAGCAACAAGCAACAAGAGGCAAAGCGGGGGAGGGAGCUCACAAGAAUUUUCAGCACCCAGCAACACCAAAACGAGGCGCUAAAUAGCCCCAGCAUAGGGUGUUUCGCCAGUGGGAAUGGCAACACCCACAUGCAACCUGUUUCGCUAACUUGGCUGGCGAUACAUGCCUGCACCUGCCACUUGAAAAUCGCGCCUACCCUCUGCCACCUGAGGCCUAGCCUGCUGCCCAUGUGUGUCGCCAGGUUGACUAGCGAAAUCCAAAGCCAUUUCGUAGAUGUCAAUGGCGAAAUGGAUAUCACGCAUCGUUCCCAUGCAUGUUUCGCCAGCAUGCAUGGCGAUAUGCAUUUAAAAAGUGAUCUCCCAUGAAAAUACUUUGCAAACAGAUCUAGAUGGGGAAUUAGUUUGUAAAACUAACCCGCUUUGGUAAAUUUGCCUCAGUUUUGCUAUUCUCACAACUAACCUUUUAAAAACAUGCAAAAGACACUUUUGUCCUCUUGUCCUUUCCUACACCCCCUUCCCCAUCCCCUUUCCCUCACUCCUCACUCUCCAAUUCCCCCAUCCUACUUCCCCUUUUCUCUUUUAUUUUUAACUUUUAUAUUUAAGGGAAUCGAGAUUCAAUUAUGUAAAAAUAUACAACUGAUCAUGAUUUCAUUUUAUAUCUUAAUCUAAUCCACAAUAAAAUUAUCUUUUCAUUAUGUAAUUUCUUUGACAUACCCUCAAGCAGCAAUUUCAAAUUGCUAUUUGGAUCCAGUUUUUCCUUGUCAUGUGUACGGUAUCACGUCAAGUUGAAUGCCGAUUCAUCAUCUAGCAUGGCAGAUUAAAAAAUUACACACAUAAGAAGUAACAAUUUCUAUUAUUCAUGGGGAUAUUGUGGCCUGAUAUCCUAUUUUAAAGACCACAAAAGUUAAAUCUUAAAGCAAUUUCUUUUACUUCUUUAUAUUUUUCUUGUUGUUGGACUUGUUUUUUUUCUUCUUAAAAUUGUUGUUACAUUUCUGUCAAAUGUUAUUGAAUAUUUGAAUUGAAAUUUUUCUGAAAUAUUAAUUUUUCUUAGGGGAAAACAUGAAUUUCUUUUGUGAAUUGUUAGUUUUAUUCAAAUUAAACAAAUUUAUAUAGUUCUUUUGUAAUUUUCUCACUGUAGGAGGCUUUUUUUUAAGGUACAGUUACAUUAUUUUUUAAUGUCUUUCGUGAUUUUUAGUUUGGGCUUCUAGCCCCUUGUAUUACCAAAAAAAAGAACUUACACUAUUUUUAGUAGCAACCAUAAUUAUAUUUGCAAUUUCGUUAGUUUUUAGUAGCAACCAAAACUAUUUUUAUAACUUGAUGCAAUCAACAAUUUCUGCUUGUUGUUUGGGCACACACAGUACACGUGACAGUGGAUAUCGAAACCACCAAUUCUAGCCUGUUGUAUCUUCUUCUUACUACCUCAAGCAACUAUCCAUUUUUGUUGUUUCAUAGCGUUUCAGUUGUUCGUUAUCAGUCAUCAUACCGUGUCUAACAACUAUAGCUUUGUUAACGAAAUUCCCAACAUUGAAAACACAAUUUGCAACUGCUGGUUCAUGAAAGCAAUAUCCUCAUUCUCAAAUUUUUCUGACAAAGAAUUACGUGAAAUCGUGGAAAUGAAACAAUAUGUCAAAACUAUUAGUGCAUCUGCUCCUUAGUAAAAAAAAAAAGAUCCAUGUCAAUAAUAUAUUUUGAAACAGACCCAUUUCAAUGAUAAGUUUAUUAAAAAGACCCAAAAAGGAUCAAUCAUCCAUUAUUUUAUCAUCAAGUAUUAGAAAAAUUAUUAAUAAAAUACUAUAGAAAAAUUAAUUGCAAGACUUCAAGUCUACUAUUGAGUAUUGACUAUAAAGCCGGAGCAAGACUUUGGGCCACAAUAAUAAUAGCCCAAUGCAAAAUAUGGGCCCCUCCAACAGUACUUUCCGUGUAUAUUGAGAAAGAAGAACUAAAAUCAUUAACUCCGUCAGGCCAGCACGAGGACUUACAAGACACGACGUCGUUUAAGAAACGCGAAAUCAUCGUCACUGCAACAAAACUCGUUGUUUACUUGAACGCUUGAACCCUCAGGUCAGCGAUCUUCUCCUUCCCCUUCUUCGUUCAUUCCAAUUCUCAACAAUUCACCGCUCCGAAAUGGGCAUAACCGCCUCCACCAAUGCCGUCGCCACCCUCCUCCUCCUCUUCUUCUUCAUUUCCCCUUCAGCCGCAGAGAUCAAAACCCUCACCAUAACCUCCGACACCCGCCCCAUGAUCCUCUUGGAGAAAUUCGGCUUCACCCACACCGGCCACGUGUCGAUCUCUGUCUCCUCCG
RNAcentral lists this long non-coding RNA (4854 nucleotides) under Glycine max (soybean). RNAcentral's name for it is "long non-coding RNA (GMAX_LNC002139)". Lineage: Eukaryota; Viridiplantae; Streptophyta; Magnoliopsida; Fabales; Fabaceae. The record is from RNAcentral.